GCAAGCGUUAUCCGGAAUUAUUGGCUAAAGAGCUCGUAGGCGGUUUGUCGCGUCGAAUGUGAAAACCCGGGGCUCAACCCCGGGCCUGCAUUCGAUACGGGCAGACUAGAGUUCGGUAGGGGAGUCUGGAAUUCCUGGUGUAGCGGUGAAAUGCGCAGAUAUCAGGAGGAACACCGGUGGCGAAGGCGGGACUCUGGGCCGAUACUGACGCUGAGGAGCGAAAGCGUGGGGAGCAAACAGG
This 241-nucleotide ribosomal RNA is filed under the name uncultured bacterium. Its description in RNAcentral is "partial 16S ribosomal RNA". It matches the Rfam family "Bacterial small subunit ribosomal RNA", at positions 534 to 776 of the family's 1533-position model. The record is from RNAcentral.